UUUUUUAUUUCUACUCACAAUUCUGAAACUCUAAAUCAGUCAUAUUCAUUGAGAAAUCCUAAGUCGUCCGUUACGCGGCUUCUCCUUCUUCCCGAACUACCAUCCUACCAGCAGCAUCUCUUCUAUGUUUAUCUUACUCGUCUUCCGUAUCCGGUAUCCCUAUGUUACCAUAACCCUUCGUUACACACCAUUCACUGGAAAUCCUAUUAUCCUAACCUUAAGCUACCUCCACCAUCGCCCACUCUCUCUUGCCCCUCUUCUACCUUCUGUUACGACGACAAGCCCUAACAGUCUCCACAACGCUAACCGUCACCACCAGCGAAGAGGUGAUAAAAGAAGGUAUUACGAAGAAUGGAGUUGGUCUUUGAUGUAAACGACGAUGAAAUCCCUCACCUUUCUUCCUGAAUCCCAAUUCUUCACUUCAAGCCUCCGUCAGUGUGUGUAUAUGUGUUUGAUAAAUGAUAAUCAUUAACACCGCCAUCAUCUUCAACUGCUCCCGAUUUUGAAUUGAAAAUCAUAACCCAUCGCAGGGGACCAUUUGGAGUUGGAAAUCCAGGUCAGGUGGUGAUGGUGAAAUUAGCGAAUUUCAAGAAAGAAUUCGUUUCUGUAAGUCCUUUAUACGUCUCUCUCCUUUUUCAAUUUUGAUUCUUAUGAGUUGCUCCCAUGUUCUCUGUGUUCGUUUUCACUUUUUUUUUCCAGCUUUUCUCGUACACUCGUGGGCGUGGCUACCAUGUGAACGUCAUAUAUAUUAGAUCAAAAUUGUCAAAUUAUGAUCGAUAUAAGAAUGUGUUGUGCGUUUGCAGUUUCAGGUGGUUGUGAGUGUAUGGAUUUGUAGUUUCAGGUGGUUGAGUGUAUGUGCUGCAGCAGGUGAUGGGAAAUAAUCAAAAUAUGGAGGACGCGACUUUCUUUGUGGAGUUUGGUAGGUUCACAUUCAACCACUUUUUAUGAACUGUCCAAGAAGCCACUUGUGGAUGGUGUGUCGGUGUCAUGGUUGGUGGAUGGAUGCACAACGGACCUUAGUAGUUGCAGAGACUAUCAUCGGAGGCAUAGGGUUUGUGAAGCUCAUUCCAAGACACCAGUUGUUGCCAUAGCUGGCAAACACCAAAGGUUUUGCCAGCAGUGCAGUAGGAAGAACAACGGGUGAUUGAACUAAAACUAAUAAUUAGACAUCAAGAAAUUCAAGAUGUUAAUAGGGCAAGAGAGAAGCUUCUCAAGCAGUAUAGUUGAACUAAAUGAGGCUGAAUGCUUCUCUAUUACUUUCUCAAAACUCAAGUAGCAGCCACUAUGUCUGAAGGUUAAUCUGCUCAAAGCAACUUGAAAAGUAGGCUUGUGUCUGCUUAUUGAACCUGUAAUAGUAAAGUUUUUUUUUUGUGUAUGUAACUUGAAAUAUGCUAGUUCAAAGAAGUAUUAACAUGUAAUAGUAAGGUUUUUUUUUUUUUU
Molecule: long non-coding RNA, 1440 nt
Organism: Lactuca sativa (garden lettuce)
Lineage: Eukaryota; Viridiplantae; Streptophyta; Magnoliopsida; Asterales; Asteraceae
Source: RefSeq, a predicted model, not a curated record